UGUGGAGCCAAUCCAUAAUAGCCCUCCUCAAUGGGAGCUGUUAAAGCCAAAGAAGUUUAGUAGUGGUCUUCGCCUCCGACGAUCAUAGAAUGGGACAACAAAGGUCCCCAUUUUUCUCAUGAGUCACUUGACGCAUUAGUCUGCGAAGACAGAGGCUGAAAGUAGGGAAACAGCAGUAAACGGAGGACUUCCAAGGAAGUUUCCAUGCUGCGAUUUAAGUGUGUACAUUGUAGGAGCGAUAAUGCCGUGCCUUGUUGAAGUUGCUGGACGAUAGGGGGGCGGAAUGUGAAAGGACGACAAUUCCGCCAGUCAUCCGAGGAGGGAACUGUCAGGUUCUGCUGUUGAGGUCGUUAAGUGGCGAUUUGAUGGAGAAUUUUCAGGAUGGGAAGGAGAAGAUAAGGAAGGUUGGAAGUGAUCUGGAGGAUGCGAACAUUCCUUGGGUCCUCCGAUGAUACGGAGCGAGAGAUUCAAAAAUCGAAAUGUAGCUGUAUGUGGAUAAGUUCGAGCACCUGGGUAAUGGUAAUUGUAGUAUCUUUAGGUUCCAACGAUAUAUUAAUAAUUCUGUAGAGAAGGAGAAUGAAUAAGAAA
RNAcentral lists this small RNA (588 nucleotides) under Cryptococcus neoformans H99. Its description in RNAcentral is "Cryptococcus neoformans var. grubii H99 hypothetical RNA". The record is from RNAcentral. Lineage: Eukaryota; Fungi; Basidiomycota; Tremellomycetes; Tremellales; Cryptococcaceae.